This 475-nucleotide ribosomal RNA is filed under the name uncultured bacterium. Its description in RNAcentral is "bacterial SSU rRNA". It matches the Rfam family "Bacterial small subunit ribosomal RNA", at positions 28 to 507 of the family's 1533-position model. The record is from RNAcentral.
GAUGAACGCUGGCGGCGUGCCUAACACAUGCAAGUCGAGCGGAGACCUGCGAAGUAGCAAUACGGAGCGGAUCUUAGCGGCGGACGGGUGAGUAACACGUGAGCAAUCUGCCUUUAGCUGGGGAAUAACAUUGUGAAAACAGUGCUAAUACCGCAUGACAUCCGACCGGGACAUCCCGGACGGAUCAAAGGAGCAAUCCGGCCAAAGAUGAGCUCGCGUCCGAUUAGCUAGUUGGUGAGGUAAAGGCCCACCAAGGCGACGAUCGGUAGCCGAACUGAGAGGUUGAUCGGCCACAUUGGGACUGAGACACGGCCCAGACUCCUACGGGAGGCAGCAGUGGGGAAUAUUGGGCAAUGGGCGCAAGCCUGACCCAGCAACGCCGCGUGAAGGAUGAAGGCCUUCGGGUUGUAAACUUCUUUGAUCAGGGACGAAAAGAAUGACGGUACCUGAGGAACAAGCCACGGCUAACUACGUG